Molecule: long non-coding RNA, 1027 nt
Organism: Daucus carota subsp. sativus
Lineage: Eukaryota; Viridiplantae; Streptophyta; Magnoliopsida; Apiales; Apiaceae
Exons: 2
Source: RefSeq, a predicted model, not a curated record
UAACAAACAAAUAUUUUCAGCUUAAAAUCGAAGUAUAGUUUAAAGCUCAACUUUAAACUCACUCGUGAAAUAUGACUUGGGAGCAGUCCAAAAUGAAAUUGAUUAUCAGGCCUGGUAGGCCCGGGUAAUGCUCCGAGAUAAAUCUGGUGAUUUCUGCGGAUCUAACUUUAUUCUUAUGAAUUGAUGUCAAGCCAAUGAUGAAGAGAGGUAUACAUGGUUCCACACUUCCACUCUUGUCAUUUUGACCCCUAGAACCUAGGUAAAGAGUCUGCAUUUAUCUGUAUGAAAUAUCGAAAAAUUAAGUAGACAUUUUACCUGCAAGUAGUUCAAAUUUUAAACUAUUUCCGUUCCAUAAGAAAAAAACUAUGGGGGUGUUUGGUUGGAGGCUUAUGGGCUUGGUAAAUGGGAAUGGGCUUCCCAUUCCGUAACCUUGUGUUUGGAUUAAAUUUUUAAGACAAGGGAAUGGAAACUCGUAGACCUCUGGCAUGUUAACACAAACCUGGCCUGUACCCCGAAUUACGAAAUUUGAUUCUCAAUCUUCUGCUCACUCGAUAUACAUUUCUCUUUCAUCGUUUCUUCGUUUCUCUCUAUCAUCAUUCUUCCUGUCUUUCAUCUCGCCUCUCACCUCUCUCUCGAUCUCGAUCUCGCCUGCCCCUCUCUCUCUCUCUCUCUCUCUACUCUCCAUUUGCUCGAUAGUCAAGGCUCUUUCCAAGGAUGAUAGAAGAAUGGGUAGUCAAGUACCAAGCUGAUGAAGUCUACUUGUUAGCUUCUCAAAUAAAAAAGAACAAAUUAGAUAACUGGAUUAGAUUAAUCAAGAUUAAAGCAUGUAAACCAAACUAGAUGAAACUGGAAAACAAUUUGAAGAUCAUAUUGUAAACCCCGUAAUUAAACCUUCCAUAUUGCUACAUAGUCACUCUCUUUUAGCUAUCAAAUUCUCUUACUGGACUUGAGACUCACAAAUAUAAGCAAAUUCUAUAGUGCUGAUGUUAUAUGAAUUGAAGUAUGGUUGAUUACCGGUUGGUCAUUA